GGCUUCUGCUCAUGGAUUUCUGCUCCAAUGCAACAGGAGGGUCCUCACCAGAUGGCUGAGCAGAUGCAGGUGCUGUGCCUCUGGACUGCCUAACCUCCAGAACCGAGGUGUUUGAAGCUGUGAAUGUGGAUGAAAGUACCAAUAUAGAGAGAACAGAGUGAGAAUAGAAGAGAGCCCAAGAAUCUAAAGUCAUGCACUUGCAAGGGAGUCAGAGGAAGAGAGGUAAGAAGGAAAAUGGUUCAUUGUUUCCAUCAUAUACUCUAUGGAAUACAAAGCUCUGAAACCUAUUGGCUACUGGGAGUGUACAGUAAAAAGACUCUCUCAAGCUAGAGGUGGGGUAGAGCUGGAGCCAGUCACAUCAAGAUCUUUCAAGGACAUGAACAUUUUUUAUGCUUAUUGAAAGAUGAUGUGGUUUUAAAAU
Molecule: long non-coding RNA, 421 nt
Filed under: Pongo abelii (Sumatran orangutan)
Lineage: Eukaryota; Metazoa; Chordata; Mammalia; Primates; Hominidae
Description: lincRNA
Source: RNAcentral